ACCUCCGCGCCGCGCGGACCCUCCGAGCCCGCGCUCAGACGCCCCAGCUCCGCCGAGAGGCCGCUUGCGCCGGGUCCUUCUUCCCCAAAUGCAGGCAGAGCCCCCGGAGCCAUGGCCAGCCCUUCCGGCAGCUCCAAAGCCACUGGCAAGCCCCGAGGCAGGGAUGGCCGGCCCAGGAGGGAGGAGGACGACGUCCCUCCCGAAGAGAAGAGGCUGCGGCUCUUGCUGGAGGGGGGAAGCGCACAGCCCCAGGACUGCGAGGACGGGGAGGACGCGCCGCGGCCGGGCAGGGAGGAGACCGGCACCCAGACAGGUGGCGACGGCAGAGGAAGGUCCAGAUGCAUUCCGUUUUGAGAAUGUCAAUGGAUACACCAACUGCUGCUUUGGAUUUCACCGGUUGGCGGUAGUUGACCCGCUGUUUGGAAUGCAGCCAAUUCGAGUGAAGAAAUAUCCGUAUUUGUGGCUCUGUUACAAUGGUGAAAUCUACAACCAUAAGAAGAUGCAACAGCAUUUUGAAUUUGAAUACCAGACCAAAGUGGAUGGUGAGAUAAUCCUUCAUCUUUAUGACAAAGGAGGAAUUGAGCAAACAAUUUGUAUGUUGGAUGGUGUGUUUGCAUUUGUUUUACUGGAUACUGCCAAUAAGAAAGUGUUCCUGGGUAGAGAUACAUAUGGAGUCAGACCUUUGUUUAAAGCAAUGACAGAAGAUGGAUUUUUGGCUGUAUGUUCAGAAGCUAAAGGUCUUGUUACAUUGAAGCACUCCGCGACUCCCUUUUUAAAAGUGGAGCCUUUUCUUCCUGGACACUAUGAAGUUUUGGAUUUAAAGCCAAAUGGCAAAGUUGCAUCCGUGGAAAUGGUUAAAUAUCAUCACUGUCGGGAUGUACCCCUGCACGCCCUCUAUGACAAUGUGGAGAAACUCUUUCCAGGUUUUGAGAUAGAAACUGUGAAGAACAACCUCAGGAUCCUUUUUAAUAAUGCUGUAAAGAAACGUUUGAUGACAGACAGAAGGAUUGGCUGCCUUUUAUCAGGGGGCUUGGACUCCAGCUUGGUUGCUGCCACUCUGUUGAAGCAGCUGAAAGAAGCCCAAGUACAGUAUCCUCUCCAGACAUUUGCAAUUGGCAUGGAAGACAGCCCCGAUUUACUGGCUGCUAGAAAGGUGGCAGAUCAUAUUGGAAGUGAACAUUAUGAAGUCCUUUUUAACUCUGAGGAAGGCAUUCAGGCUCUGGAUGAAGUCAUAUUUUCCUUGGAAACUUAUGACAUUACAACAGUUCGUGCUUCAGUAGGUAUGUAUUUAAUUUCCAAGUAUAUUCGGAAGAACACAGAUAGCGUGGUGAUCUUCUCUGGAGAAGGAUCAGAUGAACUUACGCAGGGUUACAUAUAUUUUCACAAGGCUCCUUCUCCUGAAAAAGCCGAGGAGGAGAGUGAGAGGCUUCUGAGGGAACUCUAUUUGUUUGAUGUUCUCCGCGCAGAUCGAACUACUGCUGCCCAUGGUCUUGAACUGAGAGUCCCAUUUCUAGAUCAUCGAUUUUCUUCCUAUUACUUGUCUCUGCCACCAGAAAUGAGAAUUCCAAAGAAUGGGAUAGAAAAACAUCUCCUGAGAGAGACGUUUGAGGAUUCCAAUCUGAUACCCAAAGAGAUUCUCUGGCGACCAAAAGAAGCCUUCAGUGAUGGAAUAACUUCAGUUAAGAAUUCCUGGUUUAAGAUUUUACAGGAAUACGUUGAACAUCAGGUUGAUGAUGCAAUGAUGGCAAAUGCAGCCCAGAAAUUUCCCUUCAAUACUCCUAAAACCAAAGAAGGAUAUUACUACCGUCAAGUCUUUGAACGCCAUUACCCAGGCCGGGCUGACUGGCUGAGCCAUUACUGGAUGCCCAAGUGGAUCAAUGCCACUGACCCUUCUGCCCGCACGCUGACCCACUACAAGUCAGCUGUCAAAGCUUAGGUGGUCUUUAUGCUGUAAUGUGAAAGCAAAUAUUUCUUCGUGUUGGAUGGGGACUGUGGGUAGAUAGGGGAACAAUGAGAGUCAACUCAGGCUAACUUGGGUGUGAAAAAAAUAAAAGUCCUA
Long non-coding RNA from Homo sapiens (human), 2059 nucleotides. NCBI's taxonomy places the organism in Eukaryota, Metazoa, Chordata, Mammalia, Primates, Hominidae. The record is from Ensembl.